This 279-nucleotide ribosomal RNA is filed under the name uncultured bacterium. Its description in RNAcentral is "partial 16S ribosomal RNA". It matches the Rfam family "Bacterial small subunit ribosomal RNA", at positions 506 to 784 of the family's 1533-position model. The record is from RNAcentral.
UGCCAGCCGCCGCGGUAAUACGGAGGGGGUUAGCGUUGUUCGGAAUUACUGGGCGUAAAGCGCGCGUAGGCGGAUUGGAAAGUCAGAUGUGAAAUCCCGAGGCUCAACCUCGGAACUGCAUUUGAAACUGGGAGUCUAGAGAUCAGGAGAGGUUAGUGGAAUACCGAGUGUAGAGGUGAAAUUCGUAGAUAUUCGGUGGAACACCAGUGGCGAAGGCGACUAACUGGACUGAUACUGACGCUGAGGUGCGAAAGUGUGGGGAGCAAACAGGAUUAGAUA